RNAcentral lists this ribosomal RNA (433 nucleotides) under uncultured bacterium. RNAcentral's name for it is "partial 16S ribosomal RNA". It matches the Rfam family "Bacterial small subunit ribosomal RNA", at positions 29 to 507 of the family's 1533-position model. The record is from RNAcentral.
AACGAACGCUGGCGGCAGGCCUAACACAUGCAAGUCGAGCGGACCUUUCGUGGUCAUCGUCGGACGGGUUUGUAACGCGUGGGAAUAUGCCCUUCUCUACGUAAUAGUCCUUGGAAACUUGGGUUAAUACCGUAUACGCCCUUUGGGUGAAAUGUUUAUCGGGGAAGGAUUAGCCGGCGUUGGAUUAGGUUUUUGGUUGGGUAAUGGCCUACCAAGCCGACUAUCCAUAGAUGGUUUGAGAGGAUGAUCAGACACACUGGUAGUGAGACACGGCCCAGACUACUACGGGAGGCAGCAGUGGGGAAUCUUAGAAAAUGGGGGGAAACCUGAACAAGCAAUGACGCGUGAGUGAUGAAGGCAUUAGGGUAGUAAAGCUCUUUAAGCUGGGAAGAUAAUGACGGUACCAGAAGAAGAAGCCACGGCUAACUCCGUG